GUGGCUAAUCACUCAAUAUAUUCCAACAACAUGAAAUUUACACACCAUGCAAUACGAAUCCCUGCACAUGCACUGAUGCACACACACAUAUCUAGAGUUUUUCGCCUUUAUUCAGAUAUGAUGAGUGAACAGACAUUAUUAAUUAACUGGUGAAAGUAUUCACCCUCUCUGCUACUGUUAUCAAAUGCUCCAGUGUCAAUAUACAUAUUAGGUGUUCAUUCAGCAACCUCGAGAGAUCUCCGGCAAGUCGCACGUACGAUCGAGCUGGUUACUUGAGCAUCGGUGAAUCACUCAGGAGGACAAGGCCCAAACUUGUGCUGGUUGAAAUUAUGCGUGCAGUUGGAGGGCCCGGCGCCACCCUUCCCUUCGUCCACCGCCGGAAUUGACUCCGCGACGACACGACCGCGGUGGCCAUGCCCGCCACCUGCCUCGCCGUGCAGGCGUGCCGCGGCGACGGCGCCGCCUCGAGCCGAAGAAGAAGCGACCAAAACUAUCAUCGUCAGAAGCGUCAGAGCCACCGCCUUCUUCCUCAUUCCCGCUUGCAUUUCCGCCUCUCUCAGGUGCGAGACGAGGUAUGGAAUAAGGUCGCCUACCGAUCGAUGGCUG
This 606-nucleotide long non-coding RNA is filed under the name Setaria italica (foxtail millet). RNAcentral describes it as "long non-coding RNA (SITA_LNC001388)". Lineage: Eukaryota; Viridiplantae; Streptophyta; Magnoliopsida; Poales; Poaceae. The record is from RNAcentral.